Long non-coding RNA from Mauremys mutica (yellowpond turtle), 1314 nucleotides. RefSeq lists it as uncharacterized. Lineage: Eukaryota; Metazoa; Chordata; Testudines; Geoemydidae. The transcript has 6 exons. The record is from RefSeq and is a predicted model, not a curated record.
AAAUAUAACUUUGUGAGGUUCUUCUCCACGUCUUCAACACAUUGUACUGGUGCACUAGUAGAAGCUGAAGAGAGAAGACAACUAAAUGUAAUUCUUAAUUUAUGUAUCUAGAAGAUAGUGUACAUACAUUCAGAAAUAUGCCUAGUGUAACAGGACAACUUUUCAGCUAAUGGAUCCCCCAUAUCCUCCUCCGGAGUGCUCAUUAAUCAGAGUUAAGACAAAUUUUAUUCAAAUAUAUUUUGCAAGUUUCACCAUAACUCAUUAAAAUAGCACUAUCUCAAAAACCAAAUCAACUCGUUCCCACAUAGAUGUAGGAGGGACUGGUGAAUCUUUGGGAGUUUGGUAAGGCAAGUAUAGAGUGCUGCACCAGGAUGAUCUACGUGGGCUCAGAAAGAUCUAUGAUUCACAAUGGUCCCUUCUGGCCUUGGAAUCUCUGAAUGUUGCUUGCCUGCAAAGAAUCUAUUUCAUUGUCUUGAAUGAGCAGCCUCCUGCUGCUGCCAGUCCUGAACUCAUCCUCAGUCCAUGAAGCAAUAGGGGGGGAAGAUGGCAUGGAGCUUGCUGCUUCUCUGUUCAAGGGCCAGGUUUUAAACAGGCAGCAACUAUCCAGAAGUGGGAAUGGGACUGGCCACAUGUUGGACAGAGGGCAUUCGAAGUGACAGCAACAAAAGAGAAACCUUCCAUUUCAUCCUUCCUAUGAGGCGAGGGCUGCUACCUGGAAGCUGCUUUUUAAAACCAAAAUUUACCCUACUAGACUGAAGGACAGAUGAUUACUUUAUCUGAGAUAACACUUCUGCUGUCAGACAUGCAAGAUUGACUAUCAUGCUGCAAUUGGAACCACAAGAAAAAACAACAACUGUUCACUAUGUGACAAGUUUAAGAUGAAGGGCAAAGCAAGACUCACACAAUACGACUCCAUAACAAUUUCUUAUUAGGAAGUACUAUUCCCCCCUCUUGUGGAAAACUAUGUUGCAAUGCACUAUGAGGGGCAAGCCACAAAGGUCAGUUAAGCCUCAGCCAAUGCAAACUCCAGUGGGCCACAUUCUUAAGUGGAACAGGUCGCCAUCAUCCAUGAAUUUUUGCUGGCUUCCAUCUCCUUCCUGAAAUGACGCAAGCUUUUCUAGUUCCUGUUCCAGACUGUGAACUUUCAGGUCACUAUUCAGCUUCUCUAUUUCCCAGCUAGAUGGAGUAGAGUUUAGAUUCCUCAUCACUACAAAAAGAUAAGCAACAGACUGAUUUCCACUCCCAUUAUAAGGUUUCAGAGUCAGACAUCAUGUCAUGGCUCAUGAUGAGUAUCUGCACCAGACAAAAUAAAAA